GACGAACGCUGGCGGCGUGCUUAAAAACAUGCAAGUCGAACGGACUUCUCAUGAAGCUUGCGAUUGAGAAGUUAGUGGCGGACGGGUGAGUAACGCGUGGGCAACCUGCCCCUGAGCCCGGGAUAACAGUUCGAAAGGACUGCUAAGACCGGAUAUACUUGCGGUGAAGCAUUUCACUGCAAGGAAAGGGAACGCUCAGGGAUGGGCCCGCGUCCCAUUAGCUAGUUGGUGAGGUAACGGCCCACCAAGGCGACGAUGGGUAGCCGGCCUGAGAGGGUGAACGGCCACACUGGGACUGAGACACGGCCCAGACUCCUACGGGAGGCAGCAGUUGGGAAUCUUCGGCAAUGGGCGCAAGCCUGACCGAGCAACGCCGCGUGAGUGAUGAAGGUUUUCGGAUUGUAAAGCUCUGUCUUCCGGGACGAUAAUGACGGUACCGGAGGGGGAGCCACGGCUAACUACGUGCCAGCAGCCCGCGGUAAACAUACCUCGUA
This 494-nucleotide ribosomal RNA is filed under the name uncultured bacterium. Its description in RNAcentral is "bacterial SSU rRNA". It matches the Rfam family "Bacterial small subunit ribosomal RNA", at positions 28 to 536 of the family's 1533-position model. The record is from RNAcentral.